Molecule: ribosomal RNA, 854 nt
Filed under: Gammarus sp. 3 ZH-2007
Lineage: Eukaryota; Metazoa; Arthropoda; Malacostraca; Amphipoda; Gammaridae
Description: partial 16S ribosomal RNA
Source: RNAcentral
AGAGCAAGAAGACUUAGAAGUUGUACCUUUUGUAUCAGGGGGGCCCAAAAAUAUAAGCAGGCUUAUACCGAUUCUACUGGAUUUUCUUUGUUUGGGCUAAAAGUAGAAUUUAACGGCUAUAAAAAUAUAAGGGGUGAAAAGUGUUCGACGGUGGUGGUAUCUGGUUGUUUUAGUUAGUUAGAGGGGCUAGCCUUUAAGUCACUAAAAGUAGAAGUAGUAAAAAAAUCUAGGCUUUAGAUUAGCCAUGUUGUUAGAUUGUUUCAAGUAAUUUUUGUUGGUGUUGAGGAGAUAGAAUUAAACAGACAAUGCCGAAAAAAAAAAUUUUUCAAAGGUAAUGAGUUUAUUGAAUAAAGAGUGAAGUUAGAAAAUAACUCGCGCUAAGUUAGAAAGUUUAACAAAAACAUUUCUAUUUGUUGCAGGAAAAGUAAGGCCUGCCCGGUGUAAAGUAAACGGCUGCGGUAUUUUGACUGUGCUAAGGUAGCAUAAUCACUUGCUUUUUAAUUGAUAGCUGGAAUGAAAGGUUAAACUAGCUUAUUUGGUUUGUAAGGCUUAAAAAGAAAUUUAAGUCAAGGUUAUAAUUCUUUGAUUUGCUAGGGGACGAUAAGACCCUAAAAGCUUGACGAAAUGAGUAUUUUUUAGUAAUAAAGUUAAAUUUGGUUUGCUGGGGCGGUAUUAGUGUAUAAACCAUUAAGGUUUUGAGUGAUCCUUUAGAUAAAGAUAGAACGGUAAAGUUACUUUAGGGUUAACAGUGUAAUAUAUUUGGAGAGAUCUUAUCGAUAAAUAUGAUUACAACCUCGAUGUUGAAUUAAGAUAUCUAAGUGGGGCAGUAAACACAGAAGAUGGUUUGUUCAACC